GAAUUUUGGACAAUGGGGGCAACCCUGAUCCAGCCAUCCCGCGUGUGCGAUGAAGGCCUUCGGGUUGUAAAGCACUUUUGGCAGGGAAGAAAAGGCUCUGGCAAAUACCUGGAGCUGCUGACGGUACCUGCAGAAUAAGCAACGGCAAACUACGUUCCACCACCCGAGUUAAUACGUAGGGUGCAAGCGUUAAUCGGAAUUACUGGGCGUAAAGCGUGCGCAGGCGGUUCGGCAAGAAGGAUGUGAAAUCCCAGGGCUUAACCUUGGAACUGCAUUCUUAACUGCCGGGCUAGAGUAUGUCAGAGGGGGGUGGAAUUCCGCGUGUAGCAGAGAAAUGCGUAGAGAUGCGGAGGAAUACCGAUGGCGAAGGCAGCCCCCUGGGAUAAUACUGACGCUCAUGCACGAAAGCGUGGGGAGCAAAC
RNAcentral lists this ribosomal RNA (422 nucleotides) under uncultured bacterium. RNAcentral describes it as "partial 16S ribosomal RNA". It matches the Rfam family "Bacterial small subunit ribosomal RNA", at positions 359 to 773 of the family's 1533-position model. The record is from RNAcentral.